This 498-nucleotide ribosomal RNA is filed under the name uncultured bacterium. RNAcentral's name for it is "partial 16S ribosomal RNA". It matches the Rfam family "Bacterial small subunit ribosomal RNA", at positions 29 to 523 of the family's 1533-position model. The record is from RNAcentral.
AUUGAACGCUGGCGGCAUGCCUUACACAUGCAAGUCGAACGGUAACGCGGGGCAACCUGGCGAUGAGUGGCGAACGGGUGAGUAAUGCAUCGGAACGUGCCCAGAAGUGGGGGAUAGCCCGGCGAAAGCCGGAUUAAUACCGCAUGAGACCUGAGGGUGAAAGCGGGGGAUCGCAAGACCUCGCGCUUUUGGAGCGGCCGAUGUCAGAUUAGCUAGUUGGUGGGGUAAAGGCCUACCAAGGCGACGAUCUGUAGCUGGUCUGAGAGGACGACCAGCCACACGGGGACUGAGACACGGCCAAGACUCCUACGGGAGGCAGCAGUGGGGAAUUUUGGACAAUGGGCGCAAGCCUGAGCCAGCCAUGCCGCGUGCGGGAAGAAGGCCUUCGGGUUGUAAACCGCUUUUGUCAGGGAAGAAACGCUCUGGGCUAAUACCCUGGGGUAAUGACGGUACCUGAAGAAUAAGCACCGGCUAACUACGUGCCAGCCGCCGCAGUAA